AAGUCCAUGAUGUAGACAUCUUCGAAGCAACUCCCUAAACCUUUCACAUGCUUCCUAUAAUGACUCAUCCUUUAAUUGACUAAAACUAGUAAUAUCCAUUCUAAAUUU
Coffea arabica (coffee) is the source of this 108-nucleotide small nucleolar RNA. The record is from RefSeq and is a predicted model, not a curated record. Lineage: Eukaryota; Viridiplantae; Streptophyta; Magnoliopsida; Gentianales; Rubiaceae.